CAUGCUCACAUUCUCACAACAGGCGUCUCUAACGACACGGAUCUCACUGAAAUUUUCUCUAUCACAGACACAGCAAGCGCAUGCUCACAUUCUCACAACCGGCGUCUCUAACGACACGGAUCUUACAACAAAGCUUCUGUCUCAAUUUGCAAAUCACCAAGACUUCGAUGAUGCAAACCAAAUCCUUUCUUCUUCUCUUGAGCCGACAACGUUUUCUUACUCUACUAUUAUCUAUGCCUACUCGAAACAAAAUCUUUUUACUCAAUAGCUCAAUGUUUUCGCUCAAAUGCUCUCUCACGGUCUGACACCUAAUACUUGUUGCCUGAUAUUCUUAAGGCUCGCACCGGAUUUUUGUCAUUGGAAAGGGGAUAACAAGUUCAUGCAAUGGUAUUUGUAUACGGGUUUAAUUUAGAUCCGUUUGUUCAGACUUCUUUGGUUCUUAUGUACGUUAAAUGUCAGAAGAACGUUGGGACGCUCACAAGGUGUUUGAUAGAUUAGCGUAACCGGGCGUGAAAACUUUUAGUGCUCUGCUUGCUGCUUACUCGCCACAAGGGUGUGUGGAUGUAGCGAAAAAACACUUUAACGACAUGGGUCUUUCAAGAAUGGAACCCGAUGAGUUUCAAGAGUGGAACCCGAUGAGUUUAGCUGGAAUGGUAUGAUUGCAGGGUUUAAUAACAGUGGACAUUACGAAGAGACGGUUCUUUUGUUUCAAAGGAUGCAUUUUGAAGGAUUUACGCCUGAUGAGCAUAGUGUUUCUAUGUUCUUUCCGCUGUGGGCGACUUGGAGAAUCCCGAACUUGCAGUUGGUUUUGUUAAUUUGAUAGAAUUAGUGUUAAUCGGAGCUUGAUUGUUGUUAUGUUGCGUUGCCGUGAGUUUGUGUUUUUUUUUUUUUCCAGCCGCCAAUCUUCCCAAUUGUACCAUUACUGCAUUUUCGAAAGUUGGCAUACCAACUGUCGAAUGUGUUGACUUGUUUUUUAGGCAGGGCAAUUUGCUGGUGAAGUUAGAGCCUCUAGACUGUUGUUGUUCUUGAAUGAGCCCUAAUAGGCUUUCGGUUGCUAGGACUGCCAAACAAGUCUUAGUUCUCAAGUGACAUUUUUUUUUCAGGAGGUAAAAAGAAUAUAUAAGAGGAAUCAGCACAAAGGAAUAGCUUUAGUUCUUGGAAAAAAUCCACUGUAAGACAAAUUGUAUAGUGAAGGAAGGAAGAUAAACUGAACUUUCGAAGUGUGGCUUAUGUUUGGUAUGUGAAUUCAUGAAUAAUAGAUGUAUUGGUAUUUAUCUGAAUUUAGUUUUAAUUGAAUGAAUAGAGAGGAGAUCUUCAACAACUUGCUUGUUGAUGGGAAUAUGAUGGAAGCGGUAUAGCAGAUAUCUGAUGUCACUAUAUCUAUAAGCUCAUAGAUUUUGCAAUGGAAAUUUUGGCAUUAAUACUUCUGCUUUCCAAUUAUUGUUAUUCUUAAUGUUCAAUUUGUUGGUAAAAUUGUCUGCAAUCCUAAACAGCCAUGAAAUACAUGGGUACGAUACUUAUAUGAUAUCAUAAAUUCAAACCUAUAGACAUGUGUCUUUAUCUUGUUUUUGAGUUCUAUAUUCCCCUGGUUUACUACUAUUGUAUCUUAACAAUAUAAAACUCUUUUUUACUUUCUUUUGAGGAGAGUACCAUUUCCCCAUGCUAAAUAAAGUUGUCACUGAAUUUACUCACAUUGUUGCUGUCAGGACUAUAGGGAACGUGUUCUGCUAUGAUGUAUGUUUUUUGGAUUGUCAUCACUUUUAGUGAUAUUACUUCAAGUUCAUGUAUAUAGAAUGUAGAUAAAUUCUUCAUCUUUGUACUCUUGUCUUAUAGGCAAUCAAAGAAUUAAACAUCAAGAUGAAGAAUUAAUAAGAGCUCCUAACUGAUGAACCUUUCACUAAGGAAGACCUUAUAACAAUUCAGAAUCCUAAUGCUCUUGAGAACAAGGUUACUCUUGAUUUUGAUCUUGUUAAAAAAGGUCUGAAACUUGAUGAUGAAGAACUAAAGAAAAUGAAUUCAGAUCCAACCUAUAACAUAAACAUUGCUGGAGAUAUCAAGCAGAUGUUACAGGAGCUUGGAACUGAGAAAGGAAAACAAACUUUACUGCUUAUUAACUAUCAGCUGCCUUUAGAAAUUAUCAGUGAUGGAGAAGGUUCUUGUUGAUGCAAUUAAGAAGAGGAAGGGAAGGCCAAAGAAGAGGAAAAUGCUGAGGAUGAAGAUAAAGUUCGU
Pistacia vera is the source of this 2229-nucleotide long non-coding RNA. RefSeq lists it as uncharacterized. NCBI's taxonomy places the organism in Eukaryota, Viridiplantae, Streptophyta, Magnoliopsida, Sapindales, Anacardiaceae. The record is from RefSeq and is a predicted model, not a curated record. The transcript is spliced from 3 exons.